Molecule: ribosomal RNA, 1337 nt
Filed under: Tigridemyia acanthofemurilis
Lineage: Eukaryota; Metazoa; Arthropoda; Insecta; Diptera; Syrphidae
Description: 16S ribosomal RNA
Source: RNAcentral
UUAAUAAUUAUUAAUUAAUUUUUUUUUUAAAAAAAUUUAAAUAUUAAAAAUAAUUAUAAAAUAUAAUGUUUAAGUAUUUUGUAAAGAAAAAAUAAUUUUAAUAAUAGUUUAUUAGUAUUGUAAAAUAAAAUUGAAAUAAAAUGAAAAAUUUUUGUUUUAAAAGAAAAUUUUAUUUAUUGUAUCUUGUGUAUCAGAGUAUAUUAAAUAAAUAAUAUAUAAAAUAUUUUUCUCGAUUUUAAAAGAUUUAAUAAAUUAUGAAUGUUAAUGUGAUAAAAUUAUAUUUAAUAAUUUAUUGGAAAUGAAAUGUUAUUCGUUUUUAAAGGUAUCUAGUUUUUUAAGAAAUAAAUUUAAUUUAGUAUUCAAAAUUUAUUAAUUUAAUUUAUUAAUUUAUUAAUUUUUGAGUAUAAAUAUUUUAUGGGAUAAGCUAUAAAAUAAAUUUUUAUAAAUAAUAAAUAAUAAUUAAAAUUUUAUAUGUUUAAAAGUAUCAAUUUAUGUUAAGUUUGUUAUAAAUUAAUUUUUUUAAUAAAUUAUUUAUUUAAUUUUAAUUUUUUAUUAAAAUAUUUAUUUAAAUAAUAAAAAUAAAGAAAUAAUGAUAUAAUUAGUAUAUUUAUUUUGUAAUUUUAUAUUUAAAAAUGAAAAGUUUAUAUAAAGAAUUCGGCAAAAAUAAUGUUCGCCUGUUUAACAAAAACAUGUCUUUUAGAAAUUAAUUUAAAGUCUGACCUGCCCACUGAUUUUUUUAAAUGGCCGCAGUAUAUUAACUGUGCAAAGGUAGCAUAAUCAUUAGUCUUUUAAUUGAAGGCUGGAAUGAAUGGUUGGACGAAAUAUUAACUGUUUCAUUUAAAUUUAUAAUAAAAUUUUAUUUUUUAGUUAAAAAGCUAAAAUAUAUUUAAAAGACGAGAAGACCCUAUGAAUCUUAAUAUAAUUUAUAUUUUAAUUUUGUAGAUUAUUUUAAUUAUGAUAUUAUUUUUAUAUUUUAUUGGGGUGAUAUUAAAAUUUAAAAAACUUUUAAUUUUGAAUUCAUUAAUUUAUGAAUAAUUGAUCCAUUUUUAGUGAUUAAAAAUUUAAGUUACUCUAGGGAUAACAGCGUAAUUUUUUUGGAGAGUUCUUAUCGAUAAAAAAGAUUGCGACCUCGAUGUUGGAUUAAGAGAUAAUUUUAGGUGUAGCCGUUUAAAUUUAAAGUCUGUUCGACUUUUAGAAUCUUACAUGAUCUGAGUUCAAACCGGUGUAAGCCAGGUUGGUUUCUAUCUUUAAUAAAUUAAUAUAUUUUAGUACGAAAGGAUUGAAUAUAUAAAUAAUUUUAUUUUAUUUAAUUAAGAAUAUUAAUAAUUGAUUUAUAA